GACACUUUGUGUUGUUGGUUGGUGUGCGUCGUGGGGCCUGAUGUGUGGUUCAAGCGAUGGGGUGACACAGUGGGGUAGCCAUGCCACUUACUGGAUUGUUGGUGUAAGCGUGUAGCUUGGGGUGUAGGUAAAUCCGCAUCCUUUUAGGUGAGACGUGAUGCGUAGCCUUAAUUGGUGAAGUUGGUGAUCCCGUGCUGUCGAGAAAAGCCUCUAGCGAUGUAUAUACUCGGCCCGUACCCCAAACCGACACAGGUAGUCAGGUUGAAAAUACUAAGGCGUUCGGGUGAACUGUGGUUAAGGAACUCGGCAAAAUGCCCCCGUAACUUCGGGAGAAGGGGGACCCUAUGGCGUUAACACUCUUUGCGGUGGUAAGCGUUGUGGGGUCGCAGAGAAUAGAGGGGAGCGACUGUUUAUCAAAAACACAGGUCCAUGCGAAGACGUUAAGUUGAUGUAUAUGGACUGACGCCUGCCCGGUGCUGGAAGGUUAAGAGGACCGGUUAGUUCAUCUUUGAUGGGCGAAGCUGAGAAUUUAAGCCCCAGUAAACGGCGGUGGUAACUAUAACCAUCCUAAGGUAGCGAAAUUCCUUGUCGGGUAAGUUCCGACCUGCACGAAUGGCGUAACGACUCCCCUGCUGUCUCAACCACAGGCCCGGUGAAAUUGCACUACGAGUAAAGAUGCUCGUUACGCGCGGCAGGACGAAAAGACCCCGGGACCUUCACUAUAGCUUGGUAUUGGUGUUCGGUUCGGUUUGUGUAGGAUAGGUGGGAGACUGUGAAGCUAUCACGCCAGUGGUGGUGGAGUCGUUGUUGAAAUACCACUCUGAUCGGAUUGGAUACCUUAACCUUGGCCCAUGAUCUGGGUUGGGGACAGUGCCUGGUGGGUAGUUUAACUGGGGCGGUUGCCUCCCAAAAUGUAACGGAGGCGCCCAAAGGUUCCCUCAGCCUGGUUGGCAAUCAGGUGGUGAGUGUAAGUGCACAAGGGAGCUUGACUGUGAGAGUGACAGCUCGAACAGGGACGAAAGUCGGGACUAGUGAUCCGGCACCUACUUGUGGAUGUGGUGUCGCUCAACGGAUAAAAGGUACCCCGGGGAUAACAGGCUGAUCUUCCCCAAGAGUCCAUAUCGACGGGAUGGUUUGGCACCUCGAUGUCGGCUCGUCGCAUCCUGGGGCUGGAGUAGGUCCCAAGGG
RNAcentral lists this ribosomal RNA (1188 nucleotides) under Corynebacterium sp. HMSC076D02. RNAcentral describes it as "bacterial LSU rRNA". It matches the Rfam family "Bacterial large subunit ribosomal RNA", at positions 1421 to 2571 of the family's 2925-position model. Lineage: Bacteria; Bacillati; Actinomycetota; Actinomycetes; Mycobacteriales; Corynebacteriaceae. The record is from RNAcentral.